This 466-nucleotide ribosomal RNA is filed under the name uncultured bacterium. RNAcentral's name for it is "partial 16S ribosomal RNA". It matches the Rfam family "Bacterial small subunit ribosomal RNA", at positions 28 to 507 of the family's 1533-position model. The record is from RNAcentral.
GACGAACGCUGGCGGCGUGCUUAACACAUGCAAGUCGAACGGUAAGGCUCCAGCUUGCUGGGGUACACGAGUGGCGAACGGGUGAGUAACACGUGGGUGACCUGCCCUGCACUUCGGGAUAAGCCUGGGAAACUGGGUCUAAUACCGGAUAGGACCAUGGUGUGGAUACUGUGGUGGAAAGUUUUUUCGGUGUGGGAUGGGCCCGCGGCCUAUCAGCUUGUUGGUGGGGUAAUGGCCUACCAAGGCGGCGACGGGUAGCCGGCCUGAGAGGGUGGACGGCCACAUUGGGACUGAGACACGGCCCAGACUCCUACGGGAGGCAGCAGUGGGGAAUAUUGCACAAUGGGCGGAAGCCUGAUGCAGCGACGCCGCGUGGGGGAUGACGGCCUUCGGGUUGUGAACUCCUUUCACCAUCGACGAAGGGUUUCUGACGGUAGAUGGAGAAGAAGCACCGGCUAACUACGUG